ACCGAGAUGGUGAAAUGGUAUACACGCUACUUUGAGGUAGUAGUGCCUUUAAUGAAAUAAGGCGUACGGGUUCAAAUCCCGUUCUCGGUA
This 90-nucleotide transfer RNA is filed under the name Buchnera aphidicola (Sipha maydis). RNAcentral's name for it is "transfer RNA Leucine". It matches the Rfam family "tRNA". Rfam says of the family: Transfer RNA (tRNA) molecules are approximately 80 nucleotides in length. Their secondary structure includes four short double-helical elements and three loops (D, anti-codon, and T loops). Further hydrogen bonds mediate the characteristic L-shaped molecular structure. tRNAs have two regions of fundamental functional importance: the anti-codon, which is responsible for specific mRNA codon recognition, and the 3' end, to which the tRNAs corresponding amino acid is attached (by aminoacyl-tRNA synthetases). tRNAs cope with the degeneracy of the genetic code in two manners: having more than one tRNA (with a specific anti-codon) for a particular amino acid; and 'wobble' base-pairing, i.e. permitting non-standard base-pairing at the 3rd anti-codon position. The record is from RNAcentral. Lineage: Bacteria; Pseudomonadati; Pseudomonadota; Gammaproteobacteria; Enterobacterales; Erwiniaceae.